UACGUAGGGCGCAAGCGUUGUCCGGAAUUAUUGGGCGUAAAGAGCUCGUAGGCGGUGUGUCGCGUCGGCCGUGAAAACCUGCAGCUUAACUGUGGGCUUGCGGUCGAUACGGGCACCACUGGAGUUCGGCAGGGGAGACUGGAAUUCCUGGUGUAGCGGUGAAAUGCGCAGAUAUCGGGAGGAACACCGGCGGCGAAAGCGGCCUUCUGGACGAGGACUGACGCUGAGAUGCGAAAGCGUGGGGAGCAAACAGG
RNAcentral lists this ribosomal RNA (254 nucleotides) under uncultured bacterium. Its description in RNAcentral is "partial 16S ribosomal RNA". It matches the Rfam family "Bacterial small subunit ribosomal RNA", at positions 524 to 776 of the family's 1533-position model. The record is from RNAcentral.